AUUAUUAUUGUGUGAAGGCGAAGACUUUGAAUAACUUCUUGGGGAAUGCUGCCGAAUGAUGUUGAAACGAGUUGAAUUACUUGAGAAAUGUAGAAAAUAGAAUUGAAAAACGAAAUUUUGGAGAAUUUGGCGUGAA
Long non-coding RNA from Syngnathus acus (greater pipefish), 136 nucleotides. RefSeq lists it as uncharacterized. The transcript is spliced from 4 exons. The record is from RefSeq and is a predicted model, not a curated record. NCBI's taxonomy places the organism in Eukaryota, Metazoa, Chordata, Actinopteri, Syngnathiformes, Syngnathidae.